RNAcentral lists this ribosomal RNA (497 nucleotides) under uncultured bacterium. RNAcentral's name for it is "partial 16S ribosomal RNA". It matches the Rfam family "Bacterial small subunit ribosomal RNA", at positions 28 to 507 of the family's 1533-position model. The record is from RNAcentral.
GAUGAACGCUGGCGACGUGCCUAAUACAUGCAAGUCGAGCGAACGGACGAGAAGCUUGCUUCUCUGAUGUUAGCGGCGGACGGGUGAGUAACACGUGGAUAACCUACCUAUAAGACUGGGAUAACUUCGGGAAACCGGAGCUAAUACCGGAUAAUAUUUUGAACCGCAUGGUUCAAAAGUGAAAGACGGUCUUGCUGUCACUUAUAGAUGGAUCCGCGCUGCAUUAGCUAGUUGGUAAGGUAACGGCUUACCAAGGCAACGAUGCAUAGCCGACCUGAGAGGGUGAUCGGCCCCACUGGAACUGUGACCCGGUCCAGACUCCUACGGGAGGCAGCCGUAGGGAAUCUUCCGCAAUGGGCGAAAGCCUGACGGAGCAACGCCGCGUGAGUGAUGAAGGUCUUCGGAUCCUAAAACUCUGUUAUUAGGGAAGAACAUAUGUGUAAGUAACUGUGCACAUCUUGACGGUACCUAAUCAGAACGCCACGGCUAACUACGUG